UACGAAGGGGGCUAGCGUUGUUCGGAAUUACUGGGCGUAAAGCGCGCGCAGGCGGCUUGGCAAGUCAGUGGUGAAAUCCCAGAGCUUAACUCCGGAAUUGCCUCUGAAACUGCUGAGCUUCGAGUACGGGAGAGGUGAGUGGAAUUCCCAGUGUAGAGGUGAAAUUCGUAGAUAUUGGGAAGAACACCGGUGGCGAAGGCGGCUCACUGGCCCGUUACUGACGCUCAGGCGCGACAGCGUGGGGAUCAAACAGG
Molecule: ribosomal RNA, 254 nt
Filed under: uncultured bacterium
Lineage: Bacteria
Also listed under: 1 other name
Description: partial 16S ribosomal RNA
Rfam family: Bacterial small subunit ribosomal RNA
Source: RNAcentral